Schistosoma haematobium is the source of this 45-nucleotide non-coding RNA. The record is from Rfam. NCBI's taxonomy places the organism in Eukaryota, Metazoa, Platyhelminthes, Trematoda, Strigeidida, Schistosomatidae.
AUCUAGCUGACGAGUCCUAAAUAGGACGAAACGCGCUUGCUAGAU